GACGAACGCUGGCGGCGUGCUUAACACAUGCAAGUCGAACGGAAAGGCCCUGCUUUUGUGGGGUGCUCGAGUGGCGAACGGGUGAGUAACACGUGAGUAACCUGCCCUUGACUUUGGGAUAACUUCAGGAAACUGGGGCUAAUACCGGAUAGGAGCUCCUGCUGCAUGGUGGGGGUUGGAAAGUUUCGGCGGUUGGGGAUGGACUCGCGGCUUAUCAGCUUGUUGGUGGGGUAGUGGCUUACCAAGGCUUUGCCGGGUAGCCGGCCUGAGAGGGUGACCGGCCACAUUGGGACUGAGAUACGGCCCAGAAUCCUACGGGAGGCAGCAGUGGGGAAUAUUGCACAAUGGGCGGAAGCCUGAUGCAGCAACGCCGCGUGCGGGAUGACGGCCUUCGGGUUGUAAACCGCUUUCGCCUGUGACGAAGCGUGAGUGACGGUAAUGGGUAAAGAAGCACCGGCUAACUACGUG
This 468-nucleotide ribosomal RNA is filed under the name uncultured bacterium. RNAcentral describes it as "partial 16S ribosomal RNA". It matches the Rfam family "Bacterial small subunit ribosomal RNA", at positions 28 to 507 of the family's 1533-position model. The record is from RNAcentral.